Molecule: ribosomal RNA, 386 nt
Filed under: uncultured bacterium
Lineage: Bacteria
Description: bacterial SSU rRNA
Rfam family: Bacterial small subunit ribosomal RNA
Source: RNAcentral
GACGAACGCUGGCGGCGUGCUUAACACAUGCAAGUCGAGCGGUAAGGCCCUUUCGGGGGUACACGAGCGGCGAACGGGUGAGUAACACGUGGGUGACCUGCCUUUAGCUCUGGGAUAAGCCUGGGAAACUGGGUCUAAUACCGGAUACGACUCCGCGGUGCAUGCUGUGGGGUGGAAAGCCUUGUGCGGCUGGAGAUGGGCCCGCGGCCUAUCAGCUUGUUGGUGGGGUGAUGGCCACCAAGGCGACGACGGGUAGCCGGCCUGAGAGGGCGACCGGCCACACUGGGACUGAGACACGGCCCAGACUCCUACGGGAGGCAGCAGUGGGAAUCUUGCGCAAUGGGCGAAAGCCUGACGCAGCGACGCCGCGUGAGGGAUGACGGCCU